RNAcentral lists this non-coding RNA (31 nucleotides) under Mus musculus (house mouse). The record is from RNAcentral. Lineage: Eukaryota; Metazoa; Chordata; Mammalia; Rodentia; Muridae.
CACAGAGGCAGAAUCUGUAAUAGCAUAUGGA